CCUGAGAAACCCAAAAGAUCGAAUGGGGAGAUUCAUCGACGACGAAGCUGGCUCCCGUUGGCGUGCGAUUCCCCCGUUGGGACCUCGGUUCCAGANCGCGGGGUACACCCCUUCGGCGAAUAACCGGCGACGUAGUCGUGCACUUCUCCCUUAGUAGAACGUCGCGACCCGUUGUGUGUCGGUCUACGGCCUGGGCUAUUUGCCUGUCGCGGUGGCAUUCGUUCGCUCGCGGCAGAGGCUCGGUCGCCCGGCCGGCUGCACGACGGUACUCCGACGGUAUCGGGCCGCAACCAAUCCAUUCUCGAAUGGUAUAUGCGUCCAGGCCCGUCGCAAGCUCGGACAGCACCCGGAGCGUGUGGACGCAGUGCCCUCCCCGGGUCUGGCCAGCUGUUAGCAGACGGUGUCCUCGGACCGGCCAAGCUUCGAAUUACCGGUCAGCGACGCUAUUGCUUUGGGUACUCUCAGGACCCGUCUUGAAACACGGACCAAGGAGUCUAACAUGUGCGCGAGUCAUUGGGACAUUGAAACCUAAAGGCGAAAUGAAAGUGAAAGUCGUCGUAAGCGUCGACCAAGGGAGGAUGGGCAGCGUCACGUCGCGGCCUCGCACUCCCGGGGCGUCUCGUUCUCGUUGAGAAGAGGCGCACCCAGAGCGUACACGUU
RNAcentral lists this ribosomal RNA (660 nucleotides) under Colletes distinctus. Its description in RNAcentral is "eukaryotic LSU rRNA". It matches the Rfam family "Eukaryotic large subunit ribosomal RNA", at positions 420 to 810 of the family's 3401-position model. Lineage: Eukaryota; Metazoa; Arthropoda; Insecta; Hymenoptera; Colletidae. The record is from RNAcentral.